Molecule: ribosomal RNA, 899 nt
Filed under: uncultured bacterium
Lineage: Bacteria
Description: bacterial SSU rRNA
Rfam family: Bacterial small subunit ribosomal RNA
Source: RNAcentral
AGAGUUUGAUCAUGGCUCAGGACGAACGCUGGCGGCGUGCUUAACACAUGCAAGUCGAACGAGACCCUCGCUUCGGUGGGGUGUUCUAGUGGCGAACGGGUGAGUAACACGUGGGCAACCUGCCCCCGGCUCUGGGAUAACUCCAAGAAAUUGGGGCUAAUACCGGAUAUGACCGCUGACCGCAUGGUCUGGUGGUGGAAAGAUUUAUCGGCUGGGGAUGGGCCCGCGGCCUAUCAGCUUGUUGGUGGGGUAGUGGCCUACCAAGGCGACGACGGGUAGCCGGCCUGAGAGGGUGACCGGCCACACUGGGACUGAGACACGGCCCAGACUCCUACGGGAGGCAGCAGUGGGGAAUAUUGCGCAAUGGGCGAAAGCCUGACGCAGCGACGCCGCGUGGGGGAUGACGGCCUUCGGGUUGUAAACCUCUUUCAGCAGGGACGAAGCGCAAGUGACGGUACCUGCAGAAGAAGCACCGGCCAACUACGUGCCAGCAGCCGCGGUAAUACGUAGGGUGCAAGCGUUGUCCGGAAUUAUUGGGCGUAAAGAGCUCGUAGGCGGUCUGUCGCGUCGGCUGUGAAAUCCCGAGGCUCAACCUCGGGUCUGCAGUCGAUACGGGCAAACUGGAGUGUUGCAGGGGAGACUGGAAUUCCUGGUGUAGCGGUGAAAUGCGCAGAUAUCAGGAGGAACCACCGGUGGCGAAGGCGGGUCCCUGGGCAACAACUGACGCUGAGGAGCGAAAGCGUGGGGAGCGAACAGGAUUAGAUACCCUGGUAGUCCACGCCGUAAACGUUGGGCGCUAGGUGUGGGGCUCAUUCCACGAGUUCCGUGCCGCAGCUAACGCAUUAAGCGCCCCGCCUGGGGAGUACGGCCGCAAGGCUAAAACUCAAAGGAAUUGACGG